CGGGGACCACCACUGGGAAACGGUGGCUAAUACCGGAUAUGCCGUGAGGUACAAGAUUUAUUGCCUAGAGAUGAGCUCGCGUCUGAUUAGCUAGUUGGUGUGGUAAGAGCGCACCUAGGCGACGAUCAGUAGCUGGUCUGAGAGGAUGAUCAGCCACACUGGGACUGAGACACGGCCCAGACUCCUACGGGAGGCAGCAGUGGGGAAUUUUCCGCAAUGGGCGAAAGCCUGACGGAGCAAUACCGCGUGAGGGAGGAAGGCUCUUGGGUUGUAAACCUCUUUUCUCAAGGAAUAAAAAAGUGAAGGUACUUGAGGAAUAAGCAUCGGCUAACUCCGUGCCAGCAGCCGCGGUAAUACGGAGGAUGCAAGCGUUAUCCGGAAUGAUUGGGCGUAAAGGGUCCGCAGGUGGCAUUGAAAGUCUGCUGUUAAAGAGUGAGGCUUAACCUCAUAAAAGCAGUGGAAACUACAAGGCUAGAGUGCGUUCGGGGUAGAAGGAAUUCCUGGUGUAGCGGUGAAAUGCGUAUAGAUCAGGAAGAACACCGGUGGCGAAAGCGUGCUACUAGGCCGUAACUGACACUGAGGGACGAAAGCUAGGGGAGCGAAUGGAUUAGAUACCCAGGUAG
Molecule: ribosomal RNA, 623 nt
Filed under: uncultured Nostoc sp.
Lineage: Bacteria; Bacillati; Cyanobacteriota; Cyanophyceae; Nostocales; Nostocaceae
Description: bacterial SSU rRNA
Rfam family: Bacterial small subunit ribosomal RNA
Source: RNAcentral